CCCUGGUUUGCCCAGUUGGUAGAGCGCUCCACUGGAAAUGGGGAGGUCCCGGGUUCGACACCCGCACCAGGCG
This is a non-coding RNA of Ixodes scapularis (black-legged tick), 73 nucleotides long. The record is from Rfam. Lineage: Eukaryota; Metazoa; Arthropoda; Arachnida; Ixodida; Ixodidae.